Molecule: ribosomal RNA, 703 nt
Filed under: uncultured bacterium
Lineage: Bacteria
Description: bacterial SSU rRNA
Rfam family: Bacterial small subunit ribosomal RNA
Source: RNAcentral
AGAGUUUGAUCAUGGCUCAGAAUCAACGCUGGCGGCGUGCCUCAGACAUGCAAGUCGAACGAUUAAAGCCCUCUUCGGAGGGUGUAUAAAGUGGCGCACGGGUGAGUAACACGUAAGUAAUCUACCCUCGGGUGGGGAAUAACAACCGGAAACGGUUGCUAAUACCGCAUAAUGCAGCGGCUCCUUAUGGAGACAGUUGUUAAAGGAUUUAUUCGCCUGAGGAGGAGCUUGCGGCAAAUUAGCUAGUUGGUAAGGUAAUGGCUUACCAAGGCUACGAUCUGUAGCCGGUCUAAGAGGACGGUCGGUCACACUGACACUGAAUAACGGGUCAGACUCCUACGGGAGGCAGCAGUCGGGAAUUUUGGGCAAUGGGCGAAAGCCUGACCCAGCAACGCCGCGUGAAGGAUGAAGUAUUUCGGUAUGUAAACUUCGAAAGAAUAGGAAGAAUUAAUGACGGUACUAUUUAUAAGGUCCGGCUAACUACGUGCCAGCAGCCGCGGUAAUACGUAGGGACCAAGCGUUGUUCGGAUUUACUGGGCGUAAAGGGCGCGUAGGCGGCAUGACAAGUCACUUGUGAAAUCUCUGGGCUUAACUCAGAACGGCCAAGUGAUACUGUCGCGCUAGAGUGCAGAAAGGGCAAUCGGAAUUCUUGGUGUAGCGGUGGAAUGCGUAGAUAUCAAGAGGAACACCUGAGGCGAAGGCG